This 466-nucleotide ribosomal RNA is filed under the name uncultured bacterium. RNAcentral's name for it is "partial 16S ribosomal RNA". It matches the Rfam family "Bacterial small subunit ribosomal RNA", at positions 28 to 506 of the family's 1533-position model. The record is from RNAcentral.
GAUGAACGCUGGCGGCGUGCUUAACACAUGCAAGUCGAACGGAAAGGCCCAAGCUUGCUUGGGUACUCGAGUGGCGAACGGGUGAGUAACACGUGGGUGAUCUGCCCUGCACUUCGGGAUAAGCCUGGGAAACUGGGUCUAAUACCGGAUAGGACCACUUCUUGGAUGUUGUGGUGGAAAGUUUUUUCGGUGUGGGAUGAGCUCGCGGCCUAUCAGCUUGUUGGUGGGGUAAUGGCCUACCAAGGCGUCGACGGGUAGCCGGCCUGAGAGGGUGUACGGCCACAUUGGGACUGAGAUACGGCCCAGACUCCUACGGGAGGCAGCAGUGGGGAAUAUUGCACAAUGGGCGCAAGCCUGAUGCAGCGACGCCGCGUGGGGGAUGACGGCCUUCGGGUUGUAAACUCCUUUCGCUAGGGACGAAGCGUUUUGUGACGGGACCUGGAGAAGAAGCACCGGCUAACUACGU